ACACUCGCCCACCGACAAUAAAGAAUCUCAAAAUCCAACCUCAGGCAGGGGACCCAUCCAGCUCAGCUCCGUCAUUCCACCGACGGCGUAUUUCGCCGUCCUUCCUCCUACAGUGCAACCGGAGCGGCGGAUGGUUCACCAAUCUCACGCCUCACAUAUAUAUAUAUAUUACGAUUCAAACCAUGGACUGAUCUAGCAGGAAGACGAGAAUGUGGAAAGCGUGGUGGCGGAGGAAGUUCUCGGAGUCGCCGCCGCUUGCUUCAAAACCACCGCCGG
This 276-nucleotide long non-coding RNA is filed under the name Linum usitatissimum (flax). RNAcentral's name for it is "long non-coding RNA (LUSI_LNC000757)". Lineage: Eukaryota; Viridiplantae; Streptophyta; Magnoliopsida; Malpighiales; Linaceae. The record is from RNAcentral.